Molecule: ribosomal RNA, 1408 nt
Filed under: Staphylococcus aureus
Lineage: Bacteria; Bacillati; Bacillota; Bacilli; Caryophanales; Staphylococcaceae
Description: partial 23S ribosomal RNA
Rfam family: Bacterial large subunit ribosomal RNA
Source: RNAcentral
CGCAGUAGGAUAGGCGAAGCGUGCGAUUGGAUUGCACGUCUAAGCAGUAAGGCUGAGUAUUAGGCAAAUCCGGUACUCGUUAAGGCUGAGCUGUGAUGGGGAGGAGACAUUGUGUCUUCGAGUCGUUGAUUUCACACUGCCGAGAAAAGCCUCUAGAUAGAAAAUAGGUGCCCGUACCGCAAACCGACACAGGUAGUCAAGAUGAGAAUUCUAAGGUGAGCGAGCGAACUCUCGUUAAGGAACUCGGCAAAAUGACCCCGUAACUUCGGGAGAAGGGGUGCUCUUUAGGGUUAACGCCCAGAAGAGCCGCAGUGAAUAGGCCCAAGCGACUGUUUAUCAAAAACACAGGUCUCUGCUAAACCGUAAGGUGAUGUAUAGGGGCUGACGCCUGCCCGGUGCUGGAAGGUUAAGAGGAGUGGUUAGCUUCUGCGAAGCUACGAAUCGAAGCCCCAGUAAACGGCGGCCGUAACUAUAACGGUCCUAAGGUAGCGAAAUUCCUUGUCGGGUAAGUUCCGACCCGCACGAAAGGCGUAACGAUUUGGGCACUGUCUCAACGAGAGACUCGGUGAAAUCAUAGUACCUGUGAAGAUGCAGGUUACCCGCGACAGGACGGAAAGACCCCGUGGAGCUUUACUGUAGCCUGAUAUUGAAAUUCGGCACAGCUUGUACAGGAUAGGUAGGAGCCUUUGAAACGUGAGCGCUAGCUUACGUGGAGGCGCUGGUGGGAUACUACCCUAGCUGUGUUGGCUUUCUAACCCGCACCACUUAUCGUGGUGGGAGACAGUGUCAGGCGGGCAGUUUGACUGGGGCGGUCGCCUCCUAAAAGGUAACGGAGGCGCUCAAAGGUUCCCUCAGAAUGGUUGGAAAUCAUUCAUAGAGUGUAAAGGCAUAAGGGAGCUUGACUGCGAGACCUACAAGUCGAGCAGGGUCGAAAGACGGACUUAGUGAUCCGGUGGUUCCGCAUGGAAGGGCCAUCGCUCAACGGAUAAAAGCUACCCCGGGGAUAACAGGCUUAUCUCCCCCAAGAGUUCACAUCGACGGGGAGGUUUGGCACCUCGAUGUCGGCUCAUCGCAUCCUGGGGCUGUAGUCGGUCCCAAGGGUUGGGCUGUUCGCCCAUUAAAGCGGUACGCGAGCUGGGUUCAGAACGUCGUGAGACAGUUCGGUCCCUAUCCGUCGUGGGCGUAGGAAAUUUGAGAGGAGCUGUCCUUAGUACGAGAGGACCGGGAUGGACAUACCUCUGGUGUACCAGUUGUCGUGCCAACGGCAUAGCUGGGUAGCUAUGUGUGGACGGGAUAAGUGCUGAAAGCAUCUAAGCAUGAAGCCCCCCUUAAGAUGAGAUUUCCCAACUUCGGUUAUAAGAUCCCUCAAAGAUGAUGAGGUUAAUAGGUUCGAGGUGGAAGCAUGGUG